This is a long non-coding RNA of Mya arenaria, 283 nucleotides long. RefSeq lists it as uncharacterized. The transcript is spliced from 3 exons. The record is from RefSeq and is a predicted model, not a curated record. NCBI's taxonomy places the organism in Eukaryota, Metazoa, Mollusca, Bivalvia, Myida, Myidae.
UUGCAGUAUAUGUACACGUGUGAUCAUUCAAAUGACAAAAGUUACAUUUUUCUUUUUCAGUCAUACCAUUUGAUGUCGUGUUUAUAAUAAAAAAACUGAGAUGAAAGAUUGACAAAAAGGUGUCGUACUCUUGAUGGAAAAUGCUGUGCUCUUACAUGGCAUAUGUUUAAUAAAGGCUGUUGGGAGAUCACUGUCAGGAAUGCUAGGCCACUGAGUAAUCCAAGAAAUAUGCUCAUGGUCAGUCUUCACGAUACGCACCCGAAGCUUAUCAACAUACAUUGAA